UACGAAGGGGGCUAGCGUUGUUCGGAAUCACUGGGCGUAAAGCGCACGUAGGCGGAUCGUUAAGUCGGGGGUGAAAUCCCGAGGCUCAACCUCGGAACUGCCUUCGAUACUGGCGAUCUUUGAGUCCGGAAGAGGUGAGUGGAACUCCUAGUGUAGAGGUGAAAUUCGUAGAUAUUAGGAAGAACACCGGUGGCGAAGGCGGCCCACUGGUCCGGUACUGACGCUGAGGUGCGAAAGCGUGGGGAGCAAACAGG
Molecule: ribosomal RNA, 254 nt
Filed under: uncultured bacterium
Lineage: Bacteria
Description: partial 16S ribosomal RNA
Rfam family: Bacterial small subunit ribosomal RNA
Source: RNAcentral